Molecule: ribosomal RNA, 542 nt
Filed under: Klebsiella pneumoniae
Lineage: Bacteria; Pseudomonadati; Pseudomonadota; Gammaproteobacteria; Enterobacterales; Enterobacteriaceae
Description: partial 23S ribosomal RNA
Rfam family: Bacterial large subunit ribosomal RNA
Source: RNAcentral
ACCGGGGUUGCGGACAGUGUCUGGUGGGUAGUUUGACUGGGGCGGUCUCCUCCCAAAGCGUAACGGAGGAGCACGAAGGUUAGCUAAUCCUGGUCGGACAUCAGGAGGUUAGUGCAAUGGCAUAAGCUAGCUUGACUGCGAGCGUGACGGCGCGAGCAGGUGCGAAAGCAGGUCAUAGUGAUCCGGUGGUUCUGAAUGGAAGGGCCAUCGCUCAACGGAUAAAAGGUACUCCGGGGAUAACAGGCUGAUACCGCCCAAGAGUUCAUAUCGACGGCGGUGUUUGGCACCUCGAUGUCGGCUCAUCACAUCCUGGGGCUGAAGUAGGUCCCAAGGGUAUGGCUGUUCGCCAUUUAAAGUGGUACGCGAGCUGGGUUUAGAACGUCGUGAGACAGUUCGGUCCCUAUCUGCCGUGGGCGCUGGAGAAUUGAGGGGGGCUGCUCCUAGUACGAGAGGACCGGAGUGGACGCAUCACUGGUGUUCGGGUUGUCAUGCCAAUGGCACUGCCCGGUAGCUAAAUGCGGAAGAGAUAAGUGCUGAAAGCA